RNAcentral lists this unclassified non-coding RNA (325 nucleotides) under Hevea brasiliensis (rubber tree). The record is from RNAcentral. Lineage: Eukaryota; Viridiplantae; Streptophyta; Magnoliopsida; Malpighiales; Euphorbiaceae.
GAAAAAUUUAAAUACGACAAAUAAAAUAACAAAAAUUAUAUAUAUUUUAAGUUUCAGCAUAUACCAAAUAUGAAAUUCACUCAUCUAUUUAGAAUUUUUUUGCUGCAAGUUGAAUUCUAGCAUGCCAAAAAGAGAGGUUAAGAUAGCCUUAUAAAUAAAAAAUUUUUAUUCAAUGCUUAAACUGAUUUACUGUGACUCUGAGGUAGUAAUUUUUCUUUAAUAAUUCUCAUCAUUAGGCAUUUUGAGAUCUUUCACAUUCUGUUCUCGAUUCAGCAUCACUUAUUAUAACUUCUCUGAAUUUUCAGGGAAUUGGAACUUUAUUUGA